CGCGUAGGCGGACUCUUAAGUCGGGGGCGAAAGCCCAGGGCUCAACCCUGGAAUUGCCUUCGAUACUGAGAGUCUUGAGUUCGGAAGAGGUUGGUGGAACUGCGAGUGUAGAGGUGAAAUUCGUAGAUAUUCGCAAGAACACCAGUGGCGAAGGCGGCCAACUGGUCCGAUACUGACGCUGAGGCGCGAAAGCGUGGGGAGCAAACA
This 207-nucleotide ribosomal RNA is filed under the name uncultured bacterium. RNAcentral's name for it is "partial 16S ribosomal RNA". It matches the Rfam family "Bacterial small subunit ribosomal RNA", at positions 568 to 774 of the family's 1533-position model. The record is from RNAcentral.